GUGAGGGAAAGGCGAAAAGAACCCCGGGAGGGGAGUGAAAUAGAUCCUGAAACCGCAUGCAUACAAACAGUGGGAGCCCUGAAAUAGCGGGUGACUGCGUACCUUUUGUAUAAUGGGUCAGCGACUUACAUUCUGUAGCGAGCUUAACCGAAUAGGGGAGGCGUAGGGAAACCGAGUCUGAAUAGGGCGAUAGUUGCAGGGUGUAGACCCGAAACCGGAUGAGCUAUCCAUGGCCAGGAUGAAGGUGCAGUAACAUGCACUGGAGGUCCGAACCGACUAAUGUUGCAAAAUUAGCGGAUGAGCUGUGGAUAGGGGUGAAAGGCUAAACAAAUCCGGAGAUAGCUGGUUCUCCUCGAAAACUAUUUAGGUAGUGCCUCGUGGUUAACACUUCUUGGGGUAGAGCACUGUUAUGGCUAGGGGGUUAUUGCAACUUACCAAACCAUGGCAAACUCCGAAUACGAGAAAGUGAUACACGGGAGACAGACAUCUGGUGCUAACGUCAGGUGUCGAAAGGGAAACAACCCAGACCGCCAGCUAAGGUCCCAAAUGAUCAAUUAAGUGGUAAACGAUGUGGGAAGGCAUAGACAGCUAGGAUGUUGGCUUAGAAGCAGCCAUCAUUUAAAGAAAGCGUAAUAGCUCACUAGUCAAGUCGUCCUGCGCGGAAGAUGUAACGGGGCUAAAUUGAUAACCGAAGCUGCGGAUAGAACUUAGGUUCUAUGGUAGAGGAGCGUUCUGUAGGCCAAUGAAGGUGUCUUGAGAAGGAUGCUGGAGGUAUCAGAAGUGCGAAUGCUGACAUGAGUAGCGUUAAAGCGGGUGAAAAGCCCGCUCGCCGAAAGUCCAAGGUUUCCUACGCAACGUUAAUCGGCGUAGGGUGAGUCGGCCCCUAAGGUGAGGCAGAGAUGCGUAGCCGAUGGGAAACAGGUUAAUAUUCCUGUACCGAUGUAUAGUGCGAUGUGGGGACGGAGAAGGUUAGGUUAGCCAACUGUUGGAAAUGUUGGUUUAAGCGUGAAGGUGUGUAUCUUAGGCAAAUCCGGGAUACUUUAACACUGAGGCGUGAUGACGAGGUGCUACGGCACUGAAGUAAUUGAUACCAUGCUUCCAGGAAAAGCCACUAAGCUUCAGCUAUAUAUUGACCGUACCGCAAACCGACACUGGUGGACGAGAUGAGUAUUCUAAGGCGCUUGAGAGAACUCUGGAGAAGGAACUCGGCAAAUUAGCUCCGUAACUUCGGGAGAAGGAGCGCCCCGAUAAUGUGUAGGACUUCGCGUCCGAAGCAGUAAGGGGUUGCAGUGAACUGGUGGCUGCGACUGUUUAUUAAAAACACAGCACUCUGCAAACACGAAAGUGGACGUAUAGGGUGUGACGCCUGCCCGGUGCUGGAAGAUUAAAUGAUGGGGUGCAAGCUCUUGAUUGAAGUCCCAGUAAACGGCGGCCGUAACUAUAACGGUCCUAAGGUAGCGAAAUUCCUUGUCGGGUAAGUUCCGACCCGCACGAAUGGCGUAACGAUGGCCACACUGUCUCCUCCAGAGACUCAGCGAAGUUGAAAUGUUUGUGAAGAUGCAAUCUCCCCGCGGCUAGACG
RNAcentral lists this ribosomal RNA (1581 nucleotides) under wastewater metagenome. Its description in RNAcentral is "bacterial LSU rRNA". It matches the Rfam family "Bacterial large subunit ribosomal RNA", at positions 503 to 2082 of the family's 2925-position model. The record is from RNAcentral.